Molecule: ribosomal RNA, 468 nt
Filed under: uncultured bacterium
Lineage: Bacteria
Description: partial 16S ribosomal RNA
Rfam family: Bacterial small subunit ribosomal RNA
Source: RNAcentral
GACGAACGCUGGCGGCGUGCUUAACACAUGCAAGUCGAACGGAAAGGCCCUGCUUUUGUGGGUUGCUCGAUUGGCGAACGGGUGAGUAACACGUGAGUAACCUGCCCUUGACUUUGUGAUAACUUCAGGAAACUGGGGCUAAUACCGGAUAGGAGCUCCUGCUGCAUGGUGGGCGUUGGAAAGUUUCGGCGGUUGGGGAUGGACUCGCGGCUUAUCAGCUUGUUUGUGGGGUAGUGGCUUACCAAGGCUUUGACGGGUAGCCGGCCUGAGAGGGGUACCGGCCACAUUGGGACUGAGAUACGGACCAGAAUCCUACGGGAGGCAGCAGUGGGGAAUAUUGCACAAUGGGCGGACGCCUGAUGCAGAAACGCCGCGUGCGGGAUGACGGCCUUCGAGUUGUAAACCGCUUUCGCCUGUGACGAAGAGUGAGUGACGGUAAUGGGUAAAGAAGCAACGGCUAACUACGUG